GGUCAAACCACGCACUUGAUUUCUCAAGUUGCCUGCUUGGCCCUCUUCCAAGGGUACUUUUCUUCCUUUCAUUCCUGCUUUAAAGCUUUUUUAAUACACUUUCACUCCUGCUCUAAAACUUGCCUCGGUCCUUGGUCUCUCACUCAUCCUUAUGCCCCGCAGUCGAACUCUUUCUUUUCCUUUUUUAAUUUUUUUUACACAGAUUCUCACUCUGUUGCCCAGACUGGAGUGCAGUGGCACGAUCUCGGCUCACUGCAACCUCUGCCUCCCGGGUUCAAGCAAUUCUCCUGCCUUGGCCUCCUGAGUAGCUGGGACUACAGGUGUGCUCCACCAUACAUGGCUAAUUUUUUGUAUUUUUAGUAGAGAUGGGGUUUCACCAUGUUGGCCAGGCUGGUCUCCAACGCCUGACCUCAGGGGAUCCACCUGCCUUGGCCUCCCACAAUGCCGGGAUUACAGGCAUGAGUCACCGAGCCCGGCCAGUCAAAACUUUCUUCUGAGGAGGCAAAGAUUGAGAUUGCUGCAGAACAUAGGGAUUUGCCGUCAGUAACAUACUGUGUGACUCAGGCAGGGCCAGCUCAGCACCCACCAGCACCGAGCUGCUACUGAGCCGUCCUCUCUCCCAGAAGGAAAAUGGAUUCAGCCGGUGGCUAACCAGCCUGGCACCUUCGUGACUCAGCCCCAUCUCCUCUGCCCAGAAGCAGCUUCAAGAAACUGUAAUAGGACCCGCGCCCCUGGUAAAGGAAUGGCCAGGCCUCAGGGGCUUGGUGCUGCCACCUGGGCAUCAGAUGGAGUCGGAGGCUGGUUAGGAGAAAGCAGAACCCUCUCCGGCUCGCAGGCCCAGCUUUUGCCCUAGAGUGUGAGGUGCCCACUGAGCACCGAUAGGUGUGGGGGGUCGCUCAGCAGCCACAGGGGCCCCUCAAGGACAGCGAGCACCAGCAGUGUAGGAAACACAGCGGCAGACGAGGGGCGGGGGAAUAAUGGAAGACACAAGUGAAGAGGGAGGAGGCCAGCGAGGAGAACGCACCCUCCAAGUUCCAGAGCAGAGCCCUGGGCGUGGGCUUGGCCUGGGGCUGCCAGUGACCCCCGGAGCAUCCGAACGGGGGUACCAGGGGUCCCGGUGCAACUAGGUCAACACCCCAAGCAGGCACGAGGGGCCGCCACGGGGGAUCUGCAGAGUGGACUUUUGUUUUGUUCCCCAGAACCACUCCGGCUUCUCUCUGCAGCAAGAGUGGGGGAGAUGGCAGCGUGGGACUCGUGGGUAAUCUCCUGCAGUGGCUUGUCACUCCUCCCCCACUGCCAGGUCUGGGUGGGGCUUCAUCCCAGCCCCAGGGGUGGGGCACAGGACUCAGGCCUAAGCCAAGCAGAGCCUUCCCUGGCUGCAGCAAUGGGUCCAAGGUGAGCAUGUGACCCUAGGCUUGUUCAAUCAGGGUGAACCUGGGCCUUUUAUGCUGGGCAUGUGGGACUAAGGCGUUGUAUCCUCCUCUGCCAUAUCUGAUGGAAGCACAGGGCCCAUCUAGCCAGCCCAAGGAGUCAGCCUGCCUGAGACUAGAGUCCUGUCGCACCCCAGAGCCCUGGGGCAGCUCAGCUGCUUUAUGCCCAAUUCUUCACCCUCCGUGUAUCCCCCUCCUUUGCAGGGCCCUCCCACUGUGACCCUGGCCUUGGCCACCAGGCUUGCUUUGGCCAAUGGGAUGUGAGCAUACAGGAUGCCAAAGCAUGAAAACUGCUUCCAAUAGCGCUUGUGCGCGCCUGGGCCUGUGUUAUAAGAAUGUGCCCUGCUUACCCAUUGGAAGGACUUGGGCCACCUGCAGGAAAACAGUCACAUGAACCACGGAGAACAGUCUAAGGACCAGAGGCGUGGAGUUUUCAUUAGAAGAUUCUGAGUUCAGCUAAUGCCUGGUUAUUUUUACAGAUGCCUGGUGUAGUAGAUUGAAUGGUGGCCCCUCUAAGACAGACCACUGAGAAUCUGUGACUGUGACCUUAUUUGGAACGACGGUCGUUGCAACUGUCGUGCGUGAGACACCUGCUCCUCCUUCGGCCUCCGUCCUGAUUGAAAGCUUCCUGAGGCCUCCCCGGAAGCCAAGCAGAUGCCAACACCAUGCUUCCUAGAAAGCCUACAGAACCAUGAGCCAAUUAAACUUUACAAAUUACCCAGCCUCAGUUAUUUCUUUAUAGCAACACAGACUCGGUGACAGCUGACAUCCUACCAGCCAUCACCAGCUCUGGGGGUGCUUGUCUUUCUUUUGGCUAUCUAUGGGGUAACUUUGGAUCUUGGGGUACCAACCAUCACCAGUUCUGGGGCGCUUGUCUAAGUCUGUCUUUCUUUUGGCUAUCUGUGGGGUAACUUUGGAUCCUGGGGGACUCUGAGAACUUCUCUUGUAUCCAUGGCCACAAAAAGGCUUAUUGGUUUCGAGUUACAUUGGAUUAGGUACACCUUUGGUCAAAAACAAAAAAACAAAACAAAAAACUAGGUGAAAAGGACUAUUUGGAAACAAACUGGGCAAAGAAAAAAAUCUUUAGGGCCUUCUCCUGAAAUAUUGAUAACAACUUUCACCCUCAACAGGUAAUCUUAACUUGUAUGAAACUAUGUAUGAAAGUUAUAAGAUCUUGGUUUAUGGCCAGGAUAGUGGCUCAUGCCUGUCGGUCAUCCCAGCACUUUGGGAGGCUGAGGUGGGGAGAUCACUUAAGCCCAGGAAUUUGAAACCGGCCUGGGCAACAUGGUGAGACCUUGUCUUUACAAAAAAAUAUUUAAAAAUUAGCUGGGGUAGUGCCUGCCUCAGCUACUUGGGAGGCUAAGGUGGGAGGAUUGCUUGAGCCCUGAGGUCAAGGAGAAGGAGACCUCGUCUUAAAAAAAAAUUUUUUUUUUUGUUUACAGAUCUAUAUGUUAUGUCUAUGCGUGUAUGUUAUGUAUACGUGAAAUUGUUCUCCCUCUGAUGGUAUUACCAAGUUAAUUUAUAAAAUCCCUUAAAUGAGUUCUAUUCAAAUUGGCUUAGAGAUACAUGAGCAUUUAUAGAAAAUAUUUCUAAAGCGCUCAGAAAUACAGAAACUAAGCUAAAUAUUCUUUUCAAGUUCAUGUGACUUGAGUAACUGACAAGAUUAGUCUGAUACUGUUAGUUUAUUUAAGAAAGCUAUAUAGGUUGGGCACGGUGGCUCACGCCUGUAAUCCCAGCACUUUGGGAGGCCACGGUGGGCAGAUCACCUGACGUCAGGAGCUCAAGACAGGCCUGGCCAACAUGGUGAAACCCCGUCUCUACAACAAUACAAAAAUUAGCCAGGCAAGAUGGCCGGUGCCUGUAAUCCCAGCUA
Symphalangus syndactylus (siamang) is the source of this 3303-nucleotide long non-coding RNA. RefSeq lists it as uncharacterized. NCBI's taxonomy places the organism in Eukaryota, Metazoa, Chordata, Mammalia, Primates, Hylobatidae. The record is from RefSeq and is a predicted model, not a curated record.